This 117-nucleotide non-coding RNA is filed under the name Gorilla gorilla gorilla (western lowland gorilla). Lineage: Eukaryota; Metazoa; Chordata; Mammalia; Primates; Hominidae. The record is from Rfam by way of RNAcentral.
GCCAGGUGUGGUGGCUCACACCUGUAAUCCCAGCACUUUGGGAGGCUGAGGCAGGUGGGUCACCUGAGGUCAGGAGUUUGAGACCAGCCUGGCCAACAUGGUGAAACCCUGUCUCUA